UACAGAGGUCUCAAGCGUUGUCCGGAUUUAUUGGGCGUAAAGAGCUCGUAGGCGGUUCAGUAAGUCGGGUGUGAAAACUCUGGGCUCAACCCAGAGAGGCCACUCGAUACUGCUGUGACUUGAGUACGGUAGGGGAGCGGGGAAUUCCUGGUGUAGCGGUGAAAUGCGCAGAUAUCAGGAGGAACACCGGUGGCGAAGGCGCCGCUCUGGGCCGAAACUGACGCUGAGGAGCGAAAGCGUGGGUAGCAAACAGG
Molecule: ribosomal RNA, 254 nt
Filed under: uncultured bacterium
Lineage: Bacteria
Description: partial 16S ribosomal RNA
Rfam family: Bacterial small subunit ribosomal RNA
Source: RNAcentral